UGUUUAGUAUAAAUAUGUUCCAUGCAAUAUUUGAUACAUACUUGUACUAAAA
This 52-nucleotide microRNA precursor is filed under the name Loxodonta africana (African savanna elephant). RNAcentral describes it as "mir-1302 microRNA precursor family". It matches the Rfam family "mir-1302 microRNA precursor family". Lineage: Eukaryota; Metazoa; Chordata; Mammalia; Proboscidea; Elephantidae. The record is from Rfam by way of RNAcentral.